This 300-nucleotide ribosomal RNA is filed under the name Riemerella anatipestifer. RNAcentral's name for it is "partial 16S ribosomal RNA". It matches the Rfam family "Bacterial small subunit ribosomal RNA", at positions 1 to 302 of the family's 1533-position model. Lineage: Bacteria; Pseudomonadati; Bacteroidota; Flavobacteriia; Flavobacteriales; Weeksellaceae. The record is from RNAcentral.
UACAAUGGAGAGUUUGAUCCUGGCUCAGGAUGAACGCUAGCGGGAGGCCUAACACAUGCAAGCCGAGCGGUAGAGUGUCUUCGGAUACUUGAGAGCGGCGUACGGGUGCGGAACACGUGUGCAACCUGCCUUUAUCUGAGGGAUAGCCUUUCGAAAGGAAGAUUAAUACCUCAUAAUAUACUGAUUGGCAUCAAUUAGUAUUGAAAGCUCCGGCGGAUAGAGAUGGGCACGCGCAAGAUUAGAUAGUUGGUGAGGUAACGGCUCACCAAGUCAAUGAUCUUUAGGGGGCCUGAGAGGGUG